CAAAGAUUAAGCCAUGCAUGUCUAAGUAUAAGCAAUCUAUACUGUGAAACUGCGAAUGGCUCAUUAAAUCAGUUAUCGUUUAUUUGAUAGUACCUUACUACUUGGAUAACCGUGGUAAUUCUAGAGCUAAUACAUGCUAAAAACCCCGACUUCGGAAGGGGUGUAUUUAUUAGAUAAAAAACCAAUGCCCUUCGGGGCUCCUUGGUGAAUCAUGAUAACUUAACGAAUCGCAUGGCCUUGCGCCGGCGAUGGUUCAUUCAAAUUUCUGCCCUAUCAACUUUCGAUGGUAGGAUAGUGGCCUACCAUGGUAUCAACGGGUAACGGGGAAUUAGGGUUCUAUUCCGGAGAGGGAGCCUGAGAAACGGCUACCACAUCCAAGGAAGGCAGCAGGCGCGCAAAUUACCCAAUCCCGACACGGGGAGGUAGUGACAAUAAAUACUGAUACAGGGCUCUUUUGGGUCUUGUAAUUGGAAUGAGUACAAUUUAAAUACCUUAACGAGGAACAAUUGGAGGGCAAGUCUGGUGCCAGCAGCCGCGGUAAUUCCAGCUCCAAUAGCGUAUAUUAAAGUUGUUGCAGUUAAAAAGCUCGUAGUUGAACCUUGGGCCUGGCUGGCCGGUCUGCCUCACCGCAUGUACUGGUUCGGCCGGGCCUUUCCUCCUGGGGAUCCGCAUGCCCUUCACUGGGUGUGUCGGGGAACCAGGACUUUUACUUUGAAAAAAUUAGAGUGUUCAAAGCAGGCCUUUGCUCGAAUACAUUAGCAUGGAAUAAUAGAAUAGGACGUGCGGUCCUAUUUUGUUGGUUUCUAGGACCGCCGUAAUGAUUAAUAGGGAUAGUCGGGGGCAUCAGUAUUCAGUUGUCAGAGGUGAAAUUCUUGGAUUUACUGAAGACUAACUACUGCGAAAGCAUUUGCCAAGGAUGUUUUCAUUAAUCAGUGAACGAAAGUUAGGGGAUCGAAGACGAUCAGAUACCGUCGUAGUCUUAACCGUAAACUAUGCCGACUAGGGAUCGGGCGAUGUUAUUCUUUUGACUCGCUCGGCACCUUACGAGAAAUCAAAGUCUUUGGGUUCUGGGGGGAGUAUG
This 1081-nucleotide ribosomal RNA is filed under the name Tiarosporella paludosa. Its description in RNAcentral is "SSU rRNA". It matches the Rfam family "Eukaryotic small subunit ribosomal RNA", at positions 38 to 1127 of the family's 1831-position model. Lineage: Eukaryota; Fungi; Ascomycota; Dothideomycetes; Botryosphaeriales; Botryosphaeriaceae. The record is from RNAcentral.